CAAUAGCGUAUAUUAAAGUUGUUGCGGUUAAAAAGCUCGUAGUUGGAUUUCUGCUGAGAACGACCGGUCCGCCCUUUGGGUGUGUAUCUGGCUCUUUCUUGGCAUCUUCUUGGUGAACGUUGCUGCACUUGACUGUGUGGAGCGCUACCCAGGACUUUUACUUUGAGGAAAUUAGAGUGUUUCAAGCAGGCAUACGCCUUGAAUACAUUAGCAUGGAAUAAUAAGAUAGGACCUCGGUUCUAUUUUGUUGGUUUCUAGAGCUGAGGUAAUGAUUACUAGGGAUAGUUGGGGGCAUUCGUAUUUAACUGUCAGAGGUGAAAUUCUUGGAUUUGUUAAAGACGGACUACUGCGAANGNAUUUGCNAAGGAUGUUUNCAUUG
This 379-nucleotide ribosomal RNA is filed under the name uncultured eukaryote. Its description in RNAcentral is "partial 18S ribosomal RNA". It matches the Rfam family "Eukaryotic small subunit ribosomal RNA", at positions 592 to 975 of the family's 1831-position model. The record is from RNAcentral.